UAAUACGUAGGGGGCGAGCGUUGUCCGGAGUUACUGGGCGUAAAGAGCGUGUAGGCGGUUGAAAAAGUCAGGUGUGAAAUUCUUCGGCUCAACCGAGGGACUGCGCCUGAAACUUUUCGACUGGAGUUCGGGAGGGGCAACUGGAAUUCCUGGUGUAACGGUGAAAUGUGUAGAUAUCAGGAGGAACACCCGUGGCGAAGGCGGGUUGCUGGACCGAAACUGACGCUGAGACGCGAAAGCGUGGGUAGCAAACAGGAUUAGAUACCCUGGUAGUCCACGCUGUAAACGAUGAGUGCUAGGUGUAGGGGGUAUCGACUCCUUCUGUGCCGCAGUUAACGCAUUAAGCACUCCGCCUGGGGAGUACGGCCGCAAGGUUAAAACUCAAAGGAAUUGACGG
Molecule: ribosomal RNA, 397 nt
Filed under: bacterium enrichment culture
Lineage: Bacteria
Description: bacterial SSU rRNA
Rfam family: Bacterial small subunit ribosomal RNA
Source: RNAcentral